GAAAAUGCUUAAUACUUUUUUAUUAUUGGAAGGAUUUACUUGAAAUUUGGAAUCAAGCAAGAUGAGAACGUAUAUUUAAUAAAUAAAAUUUAAAAAAAAUAAAAAAUAUUUUUAAGAGUUAGAAAACUUGACCUGACCAACUUGACUUUGAAACUACUAAUGUCCUGACCGAUAUGAAACGGCUAAAAAUGUUUUAUUAUUGACAGGAUAGACUUCAAAUUCGAUACCAAGGAAGAUUAAAACAUUUAAUACAAAAUUAUAAGAAAAAAAAGGAAAAAAAAUAUUUUCAAGAGUUAGAAAACUUGACCUGACCA
Molecule: long non-coding RNA, 314 nt
Filed under: Mytilus galloprovincialis (Mediterranean mussel)
Lineage: Eukaryota; Metazoa; Mollusca; Bivalvia; Mytilida; Mytilidae
Source: RNAcentral